GGACCAUUCGCCCAAUCGGUGAGGGCAUCCGGCUCAUAACCGGACGGUUCUGGGUUCGAUUCCCUGAUGGUCCA
This 74-nucleotide transfer RNA is filed under the name Caudoviricetes sp. RNAcentral describes it as "tRNA-Met". It matches the Rfam family "tRNA". From Rfam's summary of the family: Transfer RNA (tRNA) molecules are approximately 80 nucleotides in length. Their secondary structure includes four short double-helical elements and three loops (D, anti-codon, and T loops). Lineage: Duplodnaviria; Heunggongvirae; Uroviricota; Caudoviricetes. The record is from RNAcentral.